RNAcentral lists this microRNA precursor (59 nucleotides) under Gekko japonicus. RNAcentral describes it as "Gja-Mir-875_pre stem-loop". The record is from RNAcentral. Lineage: Eukaryota; Metazoa; Chordata; Lepidosauria; Squamata; Gekkonidae.
AAUACCUCAGCCUUAUCAGGUGUUCUAUAUAUAUUCACCUGGAAAUACUGAGGUUGAGU